CAAUCAAUCAAUCAUUCACUCAAUUCUUAUCGAAAUUCCGAGUUGAAAAAAUCUUGAUUCCGAAAUAUUUGGAAAUAAAUGCAAACAAAAUAGCAAUUUUCAUUGCUCAUAAUGGUCAUUUUAUACAUUUCACAUUAUCACCAAAUGCAUCGUGACCAGUUGCUCGUCCACCAAGUCCAGGGUUUUUUCCCUGGCACGUGAUGAAGCAUUGCAGGCUCUAAGGAUGCAGUACACAGAUGAGACAGAUGCAGUACUUCCUGCCUGCAAAUCCUUUAUCAGGAUCUAUGACAAAGGAGCAACUUCGUCAAAGAAAGGUCUGCCAAUCACAUUUUGAGGAUAAAUAAAUCCAAAACAAUCUAUUGGUUAUGAUGAAUGGAUGUCCUAUUUUUUAUUCAUCCAUGAAGAUAAUAACAUCUCGGCGACCAUCCAAGCUGUUGCUGAUCAGGUCAUCCAAAACUCCUGCCAUCUACAUCAGAGCCACAUUAUGGAUAAUAUUAUUGCUGCGUCCUAAGGUUCAGCUUGCAAAUAAACUCAUCAAGCAGAAGCGGUACUGUCUUGGAUGGAGUCAUGAAUCGCGCAUUUCAAGACCAACGGCGUGGAAUAGAGUGGGGUAUAAUCGGAGUCUUAGAAGACUUAGAUUAUGCCGAUGACCUCUGUUUGCUGAGCCACACGCAUCGCGAUAUGCAGUCCAAACUUGAUGACCUACAUCGAGAAGCGGGUAUCACAGGGCUCAAAAUUAACUGCCGGAAGACCCAAGAGAUGCGAUCUGGUGUGAGAAAUUGCACGCCAUUACGGAUUGGUGCAGAGGAUGUGGCACGAGUCCACAAUUUCACCUACCUCGGGAGCGUCGUGUCAGAAACUGGAGGUACCGAAGAGGACAUCACUUCGCGCAUUGCCAAGGCCAGAGUUACCUUCGCACGACUUCGCCCCAUAUGGCAGUCACGGAAAUUGACCCGAAGGGUCAAGAUCAAAAUAUUCGGGUCCAACGUUAAAUCCGUUCUGCUCUAUGGGUGUGAAACGUGGAAGGUCACCAAGGUUAUCUCGCACCAGCUGCAGGUCUUCAUCAACCGCUGCCUUCGCCGAAUUCUCGGCAUAUACUGGCCCGAGAAAAUCUCCAACGUCGAGCUAUUGGAACGCUGCCACGAAAUUCCGAUCGACCAGCAGAUCAAGCGCCGCAAGUGGAACUGGAUUGGCCACACUCCGAAGGGACCCCGAUCACAUCCCUAAGCAGGCUCUGGAUUGGAAUCCCCAAGGAAAACGCAAACGUGGUCGACCCAGGCAAACUUGGCGGCGCACUGUAGCGGACGAGGCGAAGAAGAUCGGCAAAACCUGGAGCGAGAUCAAGCGAGAAGCUCAAGACCGAAC
Ostrinia nubilalis (European corn borer) is the source of this 1365-nucleotide long non-coding RNA. RefSeq lists it as uncharacterized. The transcript has 4 exons. Lineage: Eukaryota; Metazoa; Arthropoda; Insecta; Lepidoptera; Crambidae. The record is from RefSeq and is a predicted model, not a curated record.